This 20-nucleotide microRNA is filed under the name Corchorus capsularis. RNAcentral's name for it is "sRNA CCACVL1_19992". The record is from RNAcentral. Lineage: Eukaryota; Viridiplantae; Streptophyta; Magnoliopsida; Malvales; Malvaceae.
UAGAUUUUUUCUUUACUUUU